UACGUAGGGACCGAGCGUUGUCCGGAAUCAUUGGGCGUAAAGAGCGUGUAGGCGGCCACUUAAGUCCUGCGUGAAAUCUUGCGGCUCAACCGCAAGCGGUCGUGGGAAACUGGGUGGCUAGAGUGCGGGAGAGGAGAGUGGAAUUCCUGGUGUAGCGGUGAAAUGCGCAGAUAUCAGGAGGAACACCGGUGGCGAAGGCGGAUCUCUGGGCCGAUACUGACGCUGAGGAGCGAAAGCGUGGGGAGCGAACAGG
RNAcentral lists this ribosomal RNA (253 nucleotides) under uncultured bacterium. RNAcentral's name for it is "partial 16S ribosomal RNA". It matches the Rfam family "Bacterial small subunit ribosomal RNA", at positions 524 to 776 of the family's 1533-position model. The record is from RNAcentral.